This 1554-nucleotide long non-coding RNA is filed under the name Canis lupus familiaris (dog). RNAcentral's name for it is "lncRNA (ENSCAFG00030018576.1)". Lineage: Eukaryota; Metazoa; Chordata; Mammalia; Carnivora; Canidae. The record is from RNAcentral.
GCGACCCGGGAGCGAGCGGGUCCCCGGGGGAGGGAGGGAGGAGAGGCCGGGACCCCGCGCGCCCGCGCCCCGACACACCCCCGGCCCCGCGCCCACGGCCCCCCCCUCCCGCGCGGUCCAGGGCGCGACCCCGGGGUCCCCAAGCAGGAGCGCGGCCCGGGAGGAGCGGGUCCCCCGGGGGAGGGAGGAGAGGCGGCCCCCCCGCGACCCGGGGCGCGACCUCGGGGUCCCCCAGCAGGAGGGCGGCCCGGGAGGAGCGGGUCCCCCGGGGGAGGCAGGAGACGUGCCCGCCCCCCCGCGACCCAGGGCGCGACCCCGGGGUCCCCCGGCGGGAGGGCGGCCCGGGAGGAGCGGGUCCCGGGAGGGGAGGGAGGAGAGCGGGGGACCCCGCGCGCCCGCGCCCCGACACCCCCCCCGGGCCCCCCCGCGGCUCUCCUCCCCCGCACCCCCGACCCGGGCGCGACCCCGGGGUCCCCCAGCAGGAGGGCGGCCCUGGAGGAGCGGGUCCCCCGGGGAGGCAGGAGAGGCAGGGACCCCGCGCGCCCCCGACCCAGGGCGCGACCUCGGGGUCCCCCGGCGGGAGGGCGGCCCGGGAGGAGCGGGUCCCGGGGAGGGAGGGAGGGAGGGAGGAGAGCGGGGACCCCCGCCCGCGCGGUCCAGGGGCGCCCCGGGGAGGGCAGCGGCGGGCGGGGGUGGACGCGGGGCGCCGAGCUCACCUGGCGGCCGGCGUCCCGGAGCGGAGGCUGCCCCCGCCUGGCCCCCGCGUGCUUCCCGGAGCCGGGCGGCCUCGAGCCCGCCGCAUGGACGGCCGCCGCCUCCUCCUCCGCCUCCUCCUCCUCCUCCUCCUCCUCCUCCGCCGCCGCCGCCGCCUCCGCCGCCUGCACGGGCUCCCGCUGCGCCUUGGUCCGGCGUCGGGGCGAGCGGGCGGCGGGCGGCUGCGGUGCGCGCGGAGAGCCGGGCCCCGAGUGUGCGACCGGCCCUGCGGGGACCCGCGCGGCCUCCCCGUCCCUCCCCCGCCCCCGCCCCCCGCCCCGCUCCGGCCUCCCGCUGUCAUGGGGCCGCGCCUGCCGCCGCCUGGCGGCCGCCGCGGGAAGGGCCGGCCCGCGCCCCCCACCCCGCCGCGACCCCCGGCCCCGGCGCCCCCACCCCCACCCCGACCCCCGGAGAACCCGCAGCACCCGGAAACCCGAGGGCGGCCUAGACGGGAGGGCGGCGAGGGCCCGAGGGAGCAAGCGCGGCCGGUGGGCGGGGAUGCGCGGCGGGAGCCCGACAGGGGCCCAGGCGGGAGCCCCGAAGGUCCCAGACGGACCCGCGCAUCCUUGUGUUUGGAACAAUCACUCUGGCAACAGGAUAGGCCUGAGGCUGAACCCAGGAACCAAGGAAAGUCUCCCUGGGAGCCCGAGCAGGGAAGAAGGCCUGACUCAAAGGGCGCCCGGGUCGCCCUCACUCCUGUGCUCACGCACAAGGUCACAAGGGGAUCCGGGAUGUCAACCUAAAGCCAAGUCCCAAGGUCCCAUGCCCCUGCCUGGGGCUGGCCCCCUACUUGACCUGUAA